GUUUUGGUAGCUUAAUCCUAAAAGCGUCGGCCUUGUAAGCCGAAAAUCGGAGGUUAAAAUCCUUCCCGAAAC
Molecule: transfer RNA, 72 nt
Filed under: Squatina japonica (Japanese angelshark)
Lineage: Eukaryota; Metazoa; Chordata; Chondrichthyes; Squatinidae
Description: tRNA-Thr
Rfam family: tRNA
About the family: Transfer RNA (tRNA) molecules are approximately 80 nucleotides in length.
Source: RNAcentral